This 479-nucleotide ribosomal RNA is filed under the name uncultured Caldisericales bacterium. RNAcentral describes it as "bacterial SSU rRNA". It matches the Rfam family "Bacterial small subunit ribosomal RNA", at positions 920 to 1382 of the family's 1533-position model. Lineage: Bacteria; Pseudomonadati; Caldisericota; Caldisericia; Caldisericales. The record is from RNAcentral.
CCCGCACAAGCAGCGAGGUAUGUGGUUUAAUCGAGGCUACACGAAGAACCUUUACCUGGGCUUGACAUGUAAGUGAAAGGGUUAAGAAACUAACUCUCUUAUGUAGUAAUACAUAAGACACUUACACAGGUGGUGCAUGGUUGUCGUCAGCUCGUGCCGUGAGGUGUAAGGUUAAGUCCUUGAACGAGCGCAACCCUCCCUGUUAUUUGCCAUAAGCUCUUACGAGCUUAGCACUAUAACAGUACCGCUACCGACAAGGUAGAGGAAGGCGAGGAUGACGUCAAAUCAUCACGCCCCUUAUGUCCAGGGCUACACACAUGCGACAAUGGUUGGUACAGAGGGAAGCAAUAGAGUAAUCUGGAGCAAAUCCCUAAAAACCAGCCCCAGUACAGAUCGAGGGUUGAAACCCACCCUCGUGAAGAUGGAGUUGCUAGUAAACGCAGGUCAGCUAUACUGCGUUGAAUAUGUUCCCGGGCCUU